GGGCGGUUAGCUGUUUGGUAGAGCAUCCCCUUGAUGCGGGGAGGGUCAGAGGUUCGAGUCCUCUAUCGCGCA
Molecule: transfer RNA, 72 nt
Filed under: Minisyncoccota bacterium
Lineage: Bacteria; Bacillati; Minisyncoccota
Description: tRNA-Ile
Rfam family: tRNA
About the family: Transfer RNA (tRNA) molecules are approximately 80 nucleotides in length. Their secondary structure includes four short double-helical elements and three loops (D, anti-codon, and T loops). Further hydrogen bonds mediate the characteristic L-shaped molecular structure. tRNAs have two regions of fundamental functional importance: the anti-codon, which is responsible for specific mRNA codon recognition, and the 3' end, to which the tRNAs corresponding amino acid is attached (by aminoacyl-tRNA synthetases). tRNAs cope with the degeneracy of the genetic code in two manners: having more than one tRNA (with a specific anti-codon) for a particular amino acid; and 'wobble' base-pairing, i.e. permitting non-standard base-pairing at the 3rd anti-codon position.
Source: RNAcentral